GACGAACGCUGGCGGCGUGCCUAACACAUGCAAGUCGAGCGGGGAUUUAAGUGGAAGUUCUUCGGAAUGGAGAUUUAAAUUCUAGCGGCGGACGGGUGAGUAACGCGUGAACAAUCUGUCCCGGACAGGGGGAUAACACUUGGAAACAGGUGCUAAUACCGCAUAAGACCACGGCCUCGCAUGGGGCUGAGGUAAAAGGAGCAAUCCGGUUCGGGGUGAGUUCGCGUCCGAUUAGCUAGUUGGUGAGGUAACGGCCCACCAAGGCGACGAUCGGUAGCCGGCCUGAGAGGGUGAACGGCCACAUUGGAACUGAGAGACGGUCCAAACUCCUACGGGAGGCAGCAGUGGGGAAUAUUGGGCAAUGGGCGAAAGCCUGACCCAGCAACGCCGCGUGAGGGAAGAAGGUUUUCGGAUUGUAAACCUCUGCCCUAUGGGACGAAGGAAGUGACGGUACCAUAGGAGGAAGCCCCGGCUAACUACGUG
Molecule: ribosomal RNA, 483 nt
Filed under: uncultured bacterium
Lineage: Bacteria
Description: partial 16S ribosomal RNA
Rfam family: Bacterial small subunit ribosomal RNA
Source: RNAcentral